UGGGGUUUAUACAUAUAAUAUAUAGAUGGAUGAUGCGGUGAACGAAUGAAUUGUUAGGAAGAUACUUUUUUUCUAAAGUUUUGUAUCAUAUUACAAACACAGUUAAGGUAUUUUUCUAUAUCAUAAUUACGAACGGCAUGUUUUUGUUUUCUCGCUAAAUCCUUUAAAAUGAGAUUUAAUGAAAUGAUGACCUAAACCUCUUCGGAAUAUUAGCUUAAGCAAUGGGCCAGUAGGCUACGACAAGCAGUAGUCUAUAUGACUAUGAGUAGACCUUCAUCAAUGGAAGAAAACACAGAGUCGAGAUUGCAAAUUCAAAAGUUAAGCCACCACUCGUUGUCUCGUCGUUUUUCAUCGUGGGGACGUUCCUCAUCCACCGAAUGCUUACCUGGGGAAUCAAAACCCCAGAAGCAGUCAGUGAAAACACCAAAUGAUCAAGACUGGGAAGAUCGUGGUUGCUUUUUACCACAAGCUUGCGAAACACCGAAACAUGUUAUUGAAAUGAAAAGAGGCUCGGAUCUUGAAGAUGUGACCACGAUGUUUAGCAGAUCUUUUGAAAUAGCUGAACAUUACCACCAGAGGUGUAGCGUUGACAGUGGACAUGCCAGUUUGGACAGUGAGAUGUCUCCCGAUGCUCUUAGAAACAUCACUUAUGCACUUGAUGAAAACGGGGCUUCGGAACAGUUAAGACAUUGUAUGCAACUGUAUUCUUCCUCCAAGAGCUUUUCCCCAGGUAUGACAUCCCGCACUCACAGGUCUUGUAGUGCUGACUCAGCCAUCGUACAGGGCAACGUAGAUGUUACGUGUUUGACUCCAUCUUUUGAAACCCAGAUUACAUCGGAGGACGAGGAACAGAAUCAGGAGACAAUACACAGAAAACGAUCGCUGACUAUUAUUCAGUCUGUUUCUUGCCCAGUGCUUGCAAUGCCUUCGGUCGUAAUAAGUGACCACAGUAAUUUCACUGACCAAAAUAUUCAAAUGGGUGAGUUCAUGAAACCUUCUCAGGAUUAUCUUCAGGUCACGCUGGAUGACAUUGCUGGACAUAUACCUUUGAGUCGACGGUUGUCAACUUCUAGCUCGUGUUCAUUUAUGUCUAGUCUUUCUUCCGUGUCAUGGGACGAUGAUGCUUGUCAAAGUGACGUCAGUGAAUCUUCGGUAGCCAGUAACUCCAAGCGAUUAGGAUGGAAGAAAGUCCGAAAUGCUGUACACUGGUGUCCAUUUCUUCAGACUUACAGAAAACAAAAGUAUCCUUGGGUUCAGUUGGCUGGUCAUCAAGGUAAUUUUAGAGUUGGAGAGCAAGGGACUAUAUUAAAGAAAUUGUGUGGAAGAGAAGAGAUUUGUUUGAAGAAGUUGAUGAAUGAUGCACUAAAGCCUUUUGUACCUGAAUUCAAAGGAAGAGUUGAAACUGAAGAAGGAGAAAUUUACUUAGAACUCCAAGAUCUUCUGGCUGGAUUUGAUAGAGCUUGUGUUAUGGAUGUUAAAAUUGGACUUCGCACAUAUUUAGAGGAAGAACUUGCUAAAGCAAAGGAGGAGCUAAAAUUAAGAAAAGAUAUGUAUGAGAAAAUGGUUCAGAUUGAUCCGUCUGAACCAACAGAAGAAGAACGGAGUUUAAAGGCAAUAACAAAGCCUCGUUACAUGGUGUGGCGAGAAUCUAUCAGUUCAACGGCAACACUUGGUUUCAGAGUGGAGGGAAUUAAGAGAGCUGAUGGCUCUUCCAGCAAGGAUUUCAAGAAAACCAAAACUAAAGAUCAAGUUUUAGCAGCCUUGAGAACUUUUACACAUGGUUAUCCUAAUGCUGUGAAGACAUACUUGAACCGUUUAAUGGAUAUUAACAGUGUUUUGGAAACUUCUGAAUUCUUUGCAAGUCAUGAGGUAUUUGCAGUCACCAUCUAAUGCAUGAAGUUUUCAGAAAAGGGUCAGAAGCUGUAGACUUGGUUGUAGAUGGAAUUCUGUAGGCAUGCUGGUUACUGGAAGAUACCCCAGCUUAUUAGGAGUUACUGGUCCACAGAUGUUUCAAAAAAUGUAUUUUAGAUGAAUAUAGAAUAUUCCCAUAACUGAAAUGUGCUGUAGAAAUGCUUCCCAAAAUGAAACAGUAUGUUGAAGUGAUUCAAAAGGACACAAACUGUACGUUGCUGAAAGCAAAAUGAUUUGAAAUAGUCAAAGAAGGAUGCAAUAAUGUAGCGACUUUACUAAGACUCUCUUUUACAUCUCUGUUAUGAAGCAGUUUAAGUAAUUUCUGAUGGAAUAUCAAACUGUUUUAUCAUUUCUCCCCACUGACUCGAUACAUCAAAAAUGACCUUUUCAAGGCUGUACACAGUAUAUUAGAACUGCUGUACAUUGAUACCAUCAAUGAAGGCUCACACAAAAACUUCAAAAAUAUUAAUGUUUGUGAUUGAGUUCAAUAUGAAUAUAAAGUGGCAAAGUUACUUGUGAAGUUACCAUUCAAGCAUCCACUUUGCCCAUUGUGUCAUGUCCUGACUAUUUCCAUGGCUAAGACAUCAGAUUAAUGCCAAAAAAACUUUAAUCAUGUCUUAAGCAAACUUGCUUUCAGCUAAAGAGUUAAAAAAAACUUGAUAGGAAUAUCUUUCAGUGUGGAUAGAAGAUAUUCAUAGCAGAAAUAGUUAGUGCUAAUGAAAGAUAGUUAUUUGACUUCAAAUUAUUGGAAAAUGUGAGACAUUACGUGGAUAACAAAAAGAAUGUGAGAAGUCACAGUGCUUGUCUUGAUACUUUCUCUUGAUCAGACUUCUAUAGAGCAAAGCUUCUCAAUAAAGAAAAAAACUUGUAAUGCACAGAGUUAUGUAUGAACAUAUAUCAAAUACUGGUUUUAUGAUAAAUGUUGCUAUCAUGAAAGAUAUGUUGACUUAUGCCCAGGGGAACAUGCUAGAAAUAUGCACAACACUUAGAGAAGAAAAAUUAUGGUGGCAAGUGAAUUCUUCAAAAUGAAGAAAUUGCUAGAUGAAACUGAUUAAAUCAAAGAAGAGAGAAAUUGAGGAAGAUAUCAAUUACUUGCUUGAAUCAAAUAAUGUGGGUUAAACAUGGCCCAAUAGUUAGUGUGCCAGACUGUGAAUUUGUGAAUUCAUUGUUUGCAUCCAGUUACCAUGAGAAAAAUUAUGCAUUGUAAGGAUAACAGUAAAUCCCACUGUUUGGUGAGGCAAGAACUGCCAAAGAGGUGAUUGUAGUUGCUAUUUUGUAACUGCCAUCCCUCUAGUCUAUCAGUUUAUAAUUAUGGAAGGCUAGCAGAGAUAGCCCUUGAGUUGUUUAUGCAAGUAUCCUAAACAAACAAACAAACAAACAAGAACAACCAUCAGCCGAUGAAAUGGCUGAGAAAGUUGAGAAUAGCACUGAACUUAUAUUACUGACAAAAUCAAGUAGAUAUAAUAAAACAGCCAAAGAUAAACAGAAGUGUAUUAGUAAGCUAAGCUCAAAAACUAAUUGAAAAUGGAAAAAUAUGCUUAUCAUUCUUGUCAAUAACUUGUUAAACAAAAUAACUUCCAUAUUCUGCACUUACUUGAUAAAUCUGUCGGUGUUAUUAAUCAAGUUAUUGGAAAGCUUGUUUGAAUAUUCUGGAGAGUGUGUGACUGUAUAACAAAGCUUUAGCUUUGUAGCAUGUAUUAAUGGAAAUUUAUGGUAGCCAAGUUGCAUGAACCCUAUAAUGAAUAACUAGACCACUAUGACCCGAUGGAUCAACCAUUAUUCAGAGGUUAUGAAGAAUUCAAGCUAAUUUCAAUAUUGCACCGAGAUGAAGGUUUAUUUUGAGGUCACUGGUUAGGCCACAUUUCAAAUAUUGCAUUCAGUCUUGGACUCUUUACCUUAUGAAAGACAUUGAACUGUUGGAAAGGGUUUGGAGGAGAUCUACUAGGGAGGUACCUGGGAUGAUGAUUCAACUUUCACAAGCCCAUGUGAAAAUUCAGAACCAUUGCUGCUUGUGCUAUUAUCUAUACCCAUCUGUGAAGCUGAUCAACUUAAGUGUUAAUAGCAGAAUGUAACUUGAUGAAGUCAUUAGCUUUUGUAUAUACUAAGUAAACUGUUACACAUUUUCAAGGAUAUACUCAAAUUCGAUUAUAAUUUCCAAUACUGAUAUAAUUAACCUGUGUUGUGAAAAUUGGUGGUAUAAAGGCUACAUUACUAAAAA
RNA transcript from Limulus polyphemus (Atlantic horseshoe crab), 4129 nucleotides. It is a transcript of the gene named inositol-trisphosphate 3-kinase A-like, with no coding region annotated. Lineage: Eukaryota; Metazoa; Arthropoda; Merostomata; Xiphosura; Limulidae. The record is from RefSeq and is a predicted model, not a curated record. The transcript has 11 exons.